Molecule: ribosomal RNA, 497 nt
Filed under: uncultured bacterium
Lineage: Bacteria
Description: partial 16S ribosomal RNA
Rfam family: Bacterial small subunit ribosomal RNA
Source: RNAcentral
GAUGAACGCUGGCGGCGUGCCUAAUACAUGCAAGUCGAGCGAACAGACGAGGAGCUUGCUCCUCUGACGUUAGCGGCGGACGGGUGAGUAACACGUGGAUAACCUACCUAUAAGACUGGGAUAACUUCGGGAAACCGGAGCUAAUACCGGAUAAUAUAUUGAACCGCAUGGUUCAAUAGUGAAAGACGGUUUUGCUGUCACUUAUAGAUGGAUCCGCGCCGCAUUAGCUAGUUGGUAAGGUAACAGCUUACCAAGGCAACGAUGCGUAGCCGACCUGAGAGGGUGAUCGGCCACACUGGAACUGAGACACGGUCCAGACUCCUACGGGAGGCAGCAGUAGGGAAUCUUCCGCAAUGGGCGAAAGCCUGACGGAGCAACGCCGCGUGAGUGAUGAAGGUCUUCGGAUCGUAAAACCCUGUUAUUAGGGAAGAACAAAUGUGUAAGUAACUAUGCACGUCUUGACGGUACCUAAUCAGAAAGCCACGGCUAACUACGUG